GAUGCGAGACGCUCAUGAGAGCCCAUGAAAGGUGUUGGUUGCUAUAGACAGCAGGACGGUGGCCAUGGAAGUCGGAAUCCGCUAAGGAGUGUGUAACAACUCACCUGCCGAAGCAACUAGCCCUGAAAAUGGAUGGCGCUGCAGCGUCGAGCCCAUACCCGGCCGCCGCGGCAGAGUGUAAUCUCGAAGGGACACGGGAUGCUUACGCCGCGGUGAGUAGGAGGGUCGCAGCGGCGAGCGUUGAAGGUGCCGGGCGCGAGCCCGCCUGGAGCCGCCGCUGGUGCAGAUCUUGGUGGUAGUAGCAAAUACUCAAGUGAGAACCUUGAGGACUGAGGUGGAGAAGGGUUCCAUGUGAACAGCAGUUGAACAUGGGUCAGUCGGUCCUAAGGGAUAGGAGAAAUCCGUUCCGAAGCGGGUGUUUUUUGACGUUGUGCCCGCCGGUCGACCGAAAGGGAAUCGGGUUAAUAUUCCCGAACCCGGACGCGGAGAUCGGCCUCUCGGGGCCAAGUGCGGCGACGCAACCGAACUCGGAGAUGUCGACGGGAGUCCCGGGAAGAGUUGUCUUUUCUUUGUAAGGGCUCGGCUCCCUGGAAUCGGCUCGUCCGGAGAUAGGGAUGCUGUU
RNAcentral lists this ribosomal RNA (622 nucleotides) under Acanthophrynus coronatus. RNAcentral's name for it is "partial large subunit ribosomal RNA". It matches the Rfam family "Eukaryotic large subunit ribosomal RNA", at positions 1191 to 1754 of the family's 3401-position model. The record is from RNAcentral. Lineage: Eukaryota; Metazoa; Arthropoda; Arachnida; Amblypygi; Phrynidae.